GAAAGUAAGCAAGGGCAGACGGUGGAUGCCUUGGCUCUCGGAGGCGACGAAGGACGUGAUAAGCUGCGAAAAGCCCGGGGGAGGCGCAAAUAGCCCUUGAUCCCGGGAUAUCCGAAUGGGGCAACCCGGCAGGCUGAAGGCCUGCCAUCCCGAAAGGGAGGCGAACGUGGGGAACUGAAACAUCUAAGUACCCAUAGGAGGAGAAAAUAAACAAUGAUUCCGUAAGUAGUGGCGAGCGAACACGGAAGAGCCCAAACCCAUGUCGUCUAGGCGACACGGGGGUUGUAGGACCACGACGUGGCAAGAUAGAGUCAAGUGGAACGCCUUGGAAAGGGCGACCGUAGAGGGUGAUAGUCCCGUACACGACUGACGAUUGAAGCCUAGUGGUAUCCUGAGUAGCGCGGGGCACGAGAAAUCUUGCGUGAAUUAGCGGGGCCCAUCCCGUAAGGCUAAAUACUCCCGAGAGACCGAUAGCGAACCAGUACCGUGAGGGAAAGGUGAAAAGAACCCCGAGCAGGGGAGUGAAAUAGACCCUGAACCCGUCUGCCUACAAGCGGUCGGAGCGUCGUAAUGACGUGACGGCGUGCCUUUUGCAUAAUGAACCUACGAGUUACCUUCCCCGGCAAGGUUAAGUUCUUGAGGAACGGAGCCGAAGCGAAAGCGAGUCUGAACAGGGCGCCAAGUCGGGGGGGGUAGACGCGAAACCGAGUGAUCUACCCUUGGCCAGGUUGAAGGUUGGGUAACACCAACUGGAGGACCGGAUGGGUAAGCGUUGAAAAGCUUUCCAAUGAGCUGAGGGUAGGGGUGAAAGGCUAAUCAAACUCGGAGAUAGCUCGUACUCCCCGAAAUGCAUUUAGGUGCAGCCUCUUUAUAGUAUAUCGUGAGGUAGAGCGACUGAUUGGAUGCGAGGGCUUCACCGCCUAUCAAGUCCAGAUAAACUCCGAAUGCGCGAUAUAUAUUUACAGGGAGUGAGGGCGCGGGUGCUAAGGUCCGUGUCCGAGAGGAGAAGAAUCCAGACCACCGGCUAAGGCCCCCAAAUGAUCGUUAAGUUGAACUAACGAGGUCGGAUCGCAGAGACAGCUAGGAUGUUGGCUUGGAAGCAGCCAUUCAUUUAAAGAGUGCGUAACAGCUCACUAGUCGAGCGAUCUGGCGUGGAUAAUAAUCGGGCAUAAACGAUCUGCCGAAGCCGUGGAUGUCGCAAGACAUGGUAGGGGAGCAUUCCAUGCCGCGUCGAAGAUGAGGGAUGACCCUUGUUGGAGCGCAUGGAAAAGCAAAUGUAGGUAUGAGUAACGAUAAGGGGGGCGAGAAACCCCCCCGCCGAAAGACCAAGGUUUCCUGAUCAACGCUAAUCGGAUCAGGGUGAGUCGGGACCUAAGGCAAAGCCGAACGGCGCCGCCGAUGGAAGAAUGGGUUAAUAUUCCCAUACUGCCUCAUGGAGUGACGUGGAGACGGAGAAGUGACAGUCCUGCCGGCUGACGGAAUAGCCGGUUGAAGGGUGUAGAUAUUGAUUCCCGUAGGCAAAUCCGCGGGGAGAGUCGAACCUGAGAGUAUACGGAGCGCUUGCGCAACGUAAUAUGGACGUAACCAUGCUCCCGAGAAAAUCCGCUAAACUUAUCCAUGCGGCACCCGUACCGUAAACGGACACACGUGGUCGGGUUGAGAAUACUGAGGCGCUCGAGUGAUUCACGGUUAAGGAACUAGGCAAAUUGACCCUGUAACUUCGGGAUAAAGGGUCCUCGUCGUAAGGCGAGGCGCAGAGAAUAGGUCCAGGCAACUGUUUAACAAAAACACAUGGCUGUGCUAAAUGGAAACAUGAUGUAUACAGCCUGACACCUGCCCGGUGCCGGAAGGUUAAGAGGAGAUGUCAUCCGCGAGGAGAAGCGUUGAAUUGAAGCCCCGGUAAACGGCGGCCGUAACUAUAACGGUCCUAAGGUAGCGAAAUUCCUUGUCGGGUAAGUUC
This 1960-nucleotide ribosomal RNA is filed under the name human gut metagenome. Its description in RNAcentral is "bacterial LSU rRNA". It matches the Rfam family "Bacterial large subunit ribosomal RNA", at positions 1 to 1983 of the family's 2925-position model. The record is from RNAcentral.